This 541-nucleotide ribosomal RNA is filed under the name Stephanometra tenuipinna. RNAcentral describes it as "partial large subunit ribosomal RNA". It matches the Rfam family "Bacterial large subunit ribosomal RNA", at positions 1838 to 2604 of the family's 2925-position model. Lineage: Eukaryota; Metazoa; Echinodermata; Crinoidea; Comatulida; Stephanometridae. The record is from RNAcentral.
AACUUUGAUAAAGAGUACUGCCUGCCCAGUGACAAAAGUUAAACGGCCGCGGUAUUUUGACCGUGCAAAGGUAGCAUAAUCAUUUGUUCUUUAAUUGAGGACUAGAAUGAAAGGCAAGACGAAAACUUAACUGUCUCCUUUUUAAAGAAAGAAAUUAAUGUUUUUGUGAAGAAACAAAAAUAAAAAUGUAAGACGAGAAGACCCUGUCGAGCUUAAGAAAAUUCUUAUAUUAAAAAAAAUUUUUGUUAAACUAAAUUUUACUAAUAAAAUUAAAAAUAAAAAUAUCUUUGGUUGGGGCAACCACGAAGAAAAAAAAACCUUCGUUCAAAAAAAAAAAUAUACUAAUUUAAAAGCUUAAAAAAGAAAAAAGAUCCAGAAAAUACUGAUCAAAGAAAAAAGUUACCGCAGGGAUAACAGCGUUAUUCUCUUUAAGAGCCCGUAUUGACAAGAGAGUUUGCGACCUCGAUGUUGGACCGGGGCAUCCAAGAGGUGUAGCAGCCUCUAAAGGUAGGUCUGUUCGACCUUUAAAGCCCUACGUGAU